Long non-coding RNA from Sycon ciliatum, 724 nucleotides. RefSeq lists it as uncharacterized. The record is from RefSeq and is a predicted model, not a curated record. Lineage: Eukaryota; Metazoa; Porifera; Calcarea; Leucosolenida; Sycettidae. The transcript is spliced from 3 exons.
GAGAUCGUCUUCUGUGCAGAGUUCGCUACACCACCGGCCAUAUCCCAAGGAUGAAUAAUAACAUGAAACCGUAUGACAAAAAUCUAUUGAGAACCGGUGUACUAUUCUGCUUACUGGCCUCAUGGAUAUACUCAACUUGUGCCCAAGAAACAUCAUGUGGAGCCGUCAAUCGAUACACUCAACAGGUUACAAACGAUGACAAUAUCAUUCAGAGUUACGUCUCUUACACUACUGCUACUGCUACUAGAACCACACCGCGAACGCAGCUGUCGCCCGGUACACCAUACACAGUAGUUUUCGAGUAUCCUGGAAAUUGCAACUUGGUAGCUCGUAAGAUUUCGUUCGCGUCACUAGGUCUGUGUGACUUCAGUGUAAUGCGUCAACAGCACAAUGGAGGGAUGUGGUCACAUUGGACAUCUGUACGAUUUUCUCAUGUGCCGCAUCGUUAUAAUAAUGGAGCGAAAUAUUACGAUGAACUAAGGAUAGUACAACCCAUUUGGAGACGUACCCGUAUCAAAGUUACAAUACGGAACCGAAAUGGAUGUCAUACACCUCUGGUCGGUACUGAGCCAUUCAUAUCUCUGUUUUGCGAGGAUGUAAAUGAAUGUACAGAAACUCCACAUCCAUGCAAUCCUUACAGUGGAGUUGAUUCUGGCCAAUGUUUCAACAACUAUGGUUCCUACUCCUGCGUAUGCUACUCCUCGUCUUCACAGGCUGGCGGAAC